AAGCAGAGUUUCACCUGGUAAUUAACACUCUUUAUAAAUCAAUUUCUAUAUAUUAAGUACACAAAUUUAUAUUAAGUCCAUUAGAUUGAAUUUCAAAAAUAAAUUGAGACCUCUAUUAGUUAGAAUGUAUAAGUACACAUAUUUAUAUAGAAAAAGAAAUUAUUUUUUACAAAAGGGUUAUUGAAAAAAACUCAGCACAUUUAUUAUAAUUUUCUUAACUCACUGCUCUACCUUUGUUUCCCUCAAUCACGUUCAGACCAGCCAUUCCUUUCCCUUUUGUGCUUAUAUUUUUUAUUUCUAUCGGUUUCAAAAACUUGCUUUAACAAGAACCAUGAAUGCUCUAGACAUUGAUUUAUUUAUAAUUGCAUCUUUUUUGUGAUUUGCUAGUGGAAGUUACCUCUAAUAUUAGCUUUGAAGUUCGAACUGGGAACAUUUAUAACCUCUCUUUGUGCUCUAAUGCUGUUGUUUCCGCCACUACUGAAGAUUUAAUUUUUUUUGUUGAUGUCACAUGCUUUGCCAAUGGCUCAACCGGAUGAGCAUUACUUAUGACAGAGCUGGACCUGUCUCGGUGUCUGCUUGCAAGUUGGAAGGAAUCAAAGUGGAGCCUUUGCUAGCUUCUUGGACUGAGAUGUUGCCUACAAAUGGUAGUGGAGCUCAACAUGCAGAAAAUAACAAUCUCAACUGGUGCAGUCACUGUCACAAACUGUCUGAAUUUGAAUUUAUGUAUUGCUGCCAUUGAUCCUUUAAUUACUGAUCGUAAACAUCGCACGGGCUGUAGACUAGUAGUUAUGGAACCAAACACAUACACAUGUAUCUAUAUCACUUUCUAUGUGUUAAAAAAUGCUUAGUGUAUUGAUUGUAUUUUCAUUUAUCUAUUGAAAAAUUCUUAUUUGGCUAUUAUCGUGCUUGUGGGUUACGUAUGCUUAUGUGGUAACUGAAUCAUUA
Molecule: long non-coding RNA, 945 nt
Filed under: Medicago truncatula (barrel medic)
Lineage: Eukaryota; Viridiplantae; Streptophyta; Magnoliopsida; Fabales; Fabaceae
Description: long non-coding RNA (MTRU_LNC008051)
Source: RNAcentral